This 75-nucleotide transfer RNA is filed under the name Bacteriophage sp. Its description in RNAcentral is "tRNA-Glu". It matches the Rfam family "tRNA". From Rfam's summary of the family: Transfer RNA (tRNA) molecules are approximately 80 nucleotides in length. Their secondary structure includes four short double-helical elements and three loops (D, anti-codon, and T loops). Further hydrogen bonds mediate the characteristic L-shaped molecular structure. tRNAs have two regions of fundamental functional importance: the anti-codon, which is responsible for specific mRNA codon recognition, and the 3' end, to which the tRNAs corresponding amino acid is attached (by aminoacyl-tRNA synthetases). tRNAs cope with the degeneracy of the genetic code in two manners: having more than one tRNA (with a specific anti-codon) for a particular amino acid; and 'wobble' base-pairing, i.e. permitting non-standard base-pairing at the 3rd anti-codon position. The record is from RNAcentral.
AUCGCCAUCGUCUAGUGGUUAGGACUCAACAUUUUCAAUGUUGCAACACCAGUUCGAAUCUGGUUGGCGAUGCCA